CUUGGGAAAUGAUGAUACAACACUAUCACAAAAGGAAACAACGGUGCUGAAUAUAUAUUAUUUGCACGUCAGUCUGAUCCCAAA
Citrus sinensis (sweet orange) is the source of this 84-nucleotide non-coding RNA. The record is from Rfam. NCBI's taxonomy places the organism in Eukaryota, Viridiplantae, Streptophyta, Magnoliopsida, Sapindales, Rutaceae.